Danio rerio (zebrafish) is the source of this 772-nucleotide non-coding RNA. Lineage: Eukaryota; Metazoa; Chordata; Actinopteri; Cypriniformes; Danionidae. The record is from Ensembl.
AGAUGCAGAAACUUUUGACAUAUGAAUUCAUCUUGACUAAGGAACUCUUCACAGCACUUCAUCUGAACAGUCACAACCUCACAGAGCUGCUCAACUGCCCCUCUCAGAUCAGUGUUGAAGCUGGAACCUCAUCUUGUGUACAGCAAAGGCAGAGCUGAAAAUUCACUGUUUGUCUUGUAUUGUGUGUGGCAAAACCUGGAAUAACACAUGGGAGCCCUCCAGGAAUUGCUGACACUUUACGCCCAAGUCUCCUCAUGCUAACCGGAUUGCAAUAUGACAGUCUAGUCAGCAUAAACACCUGGACUCGCCAAGCACACUUUGGUUCUUAGUGUUUUGUACAAAUUGUUUUUGCUAUUCUUCAGUAAAUACUUGAAUAUGUUUUGAACUUAUUCUACUUUUGAUGUUUAAGUUCAGAAAGUUGUUAUUAUAAACAUAAUUUGCAUUGGUCAUGAACUUGACUUCUUGUUGUUGUGAAAGCUGUUUAUUAUAAUGGCAUUUCCAAAGGCAUUAUUUGAAAAGAUUUUUUGCAGUGCAGUUUUACUUGAGCUUGACAUACCAGAUGUAUGACAUGAAUAAAUAUCACAAAAUAAAUAUAAUAAUGAUAAUACAAAAUAUAAAUUUCCUUCAAUUAUAAUUGUUUUUAAUCAUUUAUAUAUGUAUGGUAAUAUAUUAUUGCAUUAAAAACUGUUAUAAAUAUAUAUAUUUUUGGUUUUUGCAUGUUUGCGUGAUUUUUUUUUUUUGUGGCAUUAUAAAUAAAUUAUAAAUGUUUCAU